This 3237-nucleotide long non-coding RNA is filed under the name Zea mays. RNAcentral's name for it is "long non-coding RNA (ZMAY_LNC004426)". The record is from RNAcentral. Lineage: Eukaryota; Viridiplantae; Streptophyta; Magnoliopsida; Poales; Poaceae.
AUCCUCUCCUCUCCAUGCCUUAGUGCAUUGUGCCGCAGCCUCGCCCGCACAGCCACCGUGCUCGCCGUCGCGCGAUGGAGCUUGGUUGGUCGCUGUCGUUCCGUGCCGAGGUGAGAACUCCAGUCUACCUUUUUUUCCCGUCCCUCUCUCCGUCCCCGUUGGUCGAGCGACCCCCUGGCCAACCCAGCCAGUCCCAGCGUCCAGUGCCCCGGCGAGCUCCACUCCCGGCUAACCAUGGCGCUCCCUGCCCAGCCCUUCCCUUGCCGAGCGAGCCACUGCAGUCGUGCCUCCCUGCAUGUCCUGUGUGUGCGGGCCGCCGCCGUUCUAAGCCGCACGCACGAGCCAGCUCCGGCAAGCCUUUCUUCCUCUCCCUUGACCGCGCUACCCUGGCCAGCUCCCCAGCGACAACCAGUCGAGUCCCCUGCGCAUGGCCAGCGUGGCCCAUCCCCAACCUUCGGCCAUCGCCCAAGUGCUCCCUGCGCAUGCGUCCGUCAAAAACAGCAGAGAGGAAAUCGCCUAGCCCCCACUUGCAUGCCGUUUUUCCAUGAUUCUUGUGAUUGAAGAAACCGCAUGAGAGCCCCACUCACAUACACAUGCACGCAUGUCACCAGCCACCACACUAGAGAAAUAAAAACCGUCUUAUCCUCCCUCGCAGAAAUCUCGUGGCCGCAUGCAAGCAUAAAAGGAGAAGAUUUGUGGUCCCACCUGCAUGUGCCAAAAAAAAACAAACUCUGUGACCCUUUGUAUUGCUCUUUUUUAAUAAAAUCGUGCCAUGUGGCUUAUAUUCCACAAGUUAUUUAACUUUGUCUUAAACUUGCUUCGAACCCGUAUCAGUUAUGUUAACUUUGCAAUAACGUCGCGUACGUGUAGUAACAUAGUUUGUCGUGACACGUCUUUUAAUUUAUUAAUUAGAUAAAUAGUAAUUAAAACUAAUUUAUAGUUUUAAUUUGUGUUUUUAUAAAAACAUGUUAAUGUGAUUUUGUACACUCUAUUGUUUAGAAUUAAUACUUGUUUAGUAUAAACCUCAUAUCUGUUAGUGAUUUCCGUAUGUCACACGUGUCGCGCAAUGUCGUGCGCGUUGUUUCACACGUCGUGGUGCUGUUUCACACGUGUCGUUCGCACUCGUUGUCGCGCGCUGUUCGCGUGUGUCACGCACCUUGCCGCGCGUAUCGCACCCUGUUCGCGUACGAUAUUAAAUUGUUCGCUUAUAAUCACUCAUGUCAAUUAAUUAGGUAUUUAUUUAAUCAUCCAAGUUUAAAAUAGUGAGUUAAUCAAAACUAAGUAGUUUUAUUUUAUAUUUCAUAAAUAGCAAUUAAUAUAGUUACAUCGAAUUAAAUAUUCUAACUAAUAAUUGUUUAGUGUAAACACGAUAACUUCUCGACCGUAGCUUCGACCGUCGCGUUUCUUAUCCUCGUCUAACCGUAGAGGCGCUCUCUAUUUUAUAUUGCUCGCUUUUAUAACAUUUUAUCUUGUAUGGUGUAAUGUUCUUAUACAUAUGUAUAUGUUUGUUUGCUUGUGCCUGUUCGUCUUCGCUUCGCGUCGCGAUUAGAUCGCGAUUCGUUUCUGAGCUACGGGGAAUCGACGGUCAAGCUUCGGCGACCAAAUGAUCCAGUUCUUCGAGUUCUACGAGAUCGAAGACCCUGAGCAUCUGUUUGGUGAAGGCAAGUGUCCUCUGUCCCAUUAUGUCCCAUUUACUUUAUAAUACACUGUCCCGCAUACUAUGAACAACCUAAGGAUUUACUAGCUUUCUAUUUACCUUAUCCUUGUUUACCUUUCGGGUUACUAUGGUUAGCUUCAUGCUAGCGCUUUACUUUAAUCAAUGAACAUGAUGAGAUACAAUGAUGAUACUAUGGUUUUAUUCUGGAUAUGAUGAUAUACUUGUGGCAUUUAAGGGGACUCGGGCUGUUUCCCGAGUACCUCUCCGUAAGGACCUGUUCGUUGAGAGACCACCCGGGAUAACAGUGCAACCAUGAGGGUGAAAUGGGAUGCCCUUAGCUAAUUAAUUAGAGGAACUAGAGGUGUAGUUGCUUCGCCGUCGUGCCAUUAAUGGGGUCCAGGCACAGUGCUUGCUCUGCCGAGGUUGAGUGUCGAUGUUCUUUCGUUUUGCUUUUGUUAGUCACCCUCCUGCGGGGAGAGGUACUGUGUUUAUCAAACUGGAGAAACCUAACGGGCGGCUAUGACCUCUAGGGAAUCUUUGUAAAAGCUACGUAGUGAUACCCUGCCGGACCACCUAGGUAGUGGUCAAUGGGGAUUAGCUCUCCCCGGGCAGAAAGGGAAUCAUGACUCAUGGGUAAAGUGUGCGACCUCUGCAGAGGGUAGUGAAACUGAUAUAUCAGCCGUGCUCACGGUUAUGAGCGGCCUUGGGAUCCUCUUUGAUUAGAGAUACAGAUGGUUCGAGAUACAAUGAUUCUUUUUAUUAUUUCGGUUCGAUCAUGAUAAUGAGGUUUCCUCGAUGAGGAAAUGGUUCACGGGUUGGUUAUAUGAUAAAACUUGGCUUCCACUAAUAAUAAAUACCUGACCAACUAAAAGCAAUCUGCUUUGACCUUCACCCCACAUAAAGCUAGUCCACUUCAGCCAAACAGGACAUUUGCUGAGUACGUUGAUGUGUACUCACCCUUGCUUUCACAAAACACCAGGUUGCCUUUGGUGCAAUCUAUGCUCAAGUAAAGAAGAAGGCGUCGAGGCGGAUCUCCAGGAGUUCCAGGACUUCGACGAGUUUGAGGAUUAGGCUAGCGAUCACCCCUAGUCAGCCGCCUGUGGUGGGUUUAUUUACGUUGGCUACGUUUCUAUUCUGUGUACUUUGAUUAUAUUAUGUAAAUGACUCUAGUCUUUAUAUUAUUACUUACUCUUUAUUGUUAUUCGAAGCAUUGUGCUAUGAUGAGUCAUGUUGGGACUAUGCUUCGUCGCCGAAGGUCUUGUAGGAAGAAGCAGCUUUCGGCUGAAGCUGUUCGUAUGAGAUGGCCGAAGGUUCCUCUUCAUGAAGCUUCGGUAUUACAAACCGACUUAAAAGUAGAAUGACCCUCUAGUCCAUAAGUGCCUAGGUCGCUGUUGUAAUCCUUUGUGAGGGGCAUAAUUGUAAUUUCUCAUAGGCUGUGUCCUGUGCCUAUAAAUAGUGAACAGUAUUCCCUUACUGUUCACAGAUUCUGGUUUUUGCAAUCGCAUCAUUCGGGAACCAAUCUUUGCCAAGGCAGAGGUAUAAUUGUAUUCAAUAAUUCAAUAUACUAAGAAAAAUAUAAU